GAUGAACGCUGGCGGCGUGCCUAAUACAUGCAAGUCGAGCGAACAGACGAGGAGCUUGCUCCUCUGACGUUAGCGGCGGACGGGUGAGUAACACGUGGAUAACCUACCUAUAAGACUGGGAUAACUUCGGGAAACCGGAGCUAAUACCGGAUAACAUGUUGAACCGCAUGGUUCAACAGUGAAAGACGGCUUUGCUGUCACUUAUAGAUGGAUCCGCGCCGCAUUAGCUAGUUGGUAAGGUACCGGCUUACCAAGGCAAGGAUGCGUAGCCGACGGUAGAGGGGGAUAGGCGAGAGGAGGAGUGGAACAGGGACAAAAGAACGAAGGGAGGCCGCAGUAGGGAAGGGGAGACAAUAGGGGGAAGUAUUACGGAGCAAGGGGGCGUGUGAAAAGAAGGUGUACGGAGCGUAAUACCGGUCUGCGAGAGAAAAAAGGCCGUGGGAGGAACUGUUGACGUAGCGACGGUAAUGAACAAGAAAGCAACGGCUAACUACGUG
This 497-nucleotide ribosomal RNA is filed under the name uncultured bacterium. RNAcentral's name for it is "partial 16S ribosomal RNA". It matches the Rfam family "Bacterial small subunit ribosomal RNA", at positions 28 to 507 of the family's 1533-position model. The record is from RNAcentral.